Molecule: small RNA, 1754 nt
Filed under: Oryza sativa Japonica Group (Japanese rice)
Lineage: Eukaryota; Viridiplantae; Streptophyta; Magnoliopsida; Poales; Poaceae
Description: sRNA Os06g0692900
Source: RNAcentral
CUGGGAGCUACUGUUGUCAGGCAAGAACAGAUACCGGAAUUUUGAGUCAAAUGGAACGACGCUGAAGCUGCGCACACCAAGAAGCCGCUGUUUCCGCGACGACGAAGUGUCUUGGACAGCUGCGACCUGGUUUGGUGUGAGGUGACGGCAGAUCCAGUCGGCGAGCAGAGAGUCCUCCACGGUGCCCUUGGCAUAGCUCUGAAGCAGCUUUGGGACGAUGAGCUUCCCGCUGUCGUUGAUACCAACCGAUGCUCGGAUGUAGUCUCUCAUUGAUUCCUGAAGCUCCUGCCGAACAUUCCCGGCUGAGAAAAUCCUGACCUCAGGUGAUGAGAACAUUCCACAGCUAAGGCCAAACAACACAAGGGGCUCUGCAUCAUCGAUCGAAUAUUUCUUGUGCUCCUCGGUAACUCUGAACUUGUGAAGGGCCAACAUCAACGAAAGUUGUGGCCGGUGUACUGGAGUCUUCAUCUUCAGAAUCACAAACUCUAUUUCUGCUGCGCUGAAGGACUGCCCACCAACAAUGUAACAGGCCUGCAAUACCAACGGAUAAUACUUGCAUGCAUUUUUAUUUGAACAGAUACUUACAUGCAUUAUCAACGUAUUGUACAGGUUAAUCCAAAAUGCUAACCGCUCAGCACAGGUCAUACAUGUAGGGUCAACCUUUGAUAAGUUUAAUAAGGAAACCUGAAAUUUUUUAGAGCUUCAGAUGCAUAUGCAAGCUGUUCCUUGCCAACAUACAUCCAAGACACCUCAGCUACUGAACAAUAGUUCCCAAUGUCUCUUCGAACUUCCUUGCCAUUAACGUUGUAGGGAUCGAAGUAUCUAACUUCAUCAAUACUGUCAUGGUUUGAAUCAACUGAAGGGCUUUGCAUCACUGAUGCCAUCAAGGAUGAAUCUGAUACAGAUGUCAAUGUACAGCCAGAUAGACGUUCUGUUGAUGAAAUUGAAUUAACAGAAGACCCUUUUGGUGAUAUCUCGGAUGAUGAGUCAGAUAAACGAAGGAAGAUAUCUCUCAUACAGCGCACCAUUUCUUCAGAGAGCUUAUUUGGAUUGCCAUUCCACACAUUACCAUUGAUGCUGCUUUUCCUCUGAUGAGAUUGGUCAAAUGAUAACGCAUCUAUUAUCUGAUAUUCUCUGCCUCCAUUUUCCAUAGGAUAGGACUCUUGCAUCUCUUCGUUCCAGUGUUUUUCCAACAAUCUAUUUGAAGGAACAUCUUGAUGCUCUUCGAGAAGCCCAUCUUGAGAUACUAUCUCUCUCCCUUCACUCUCUUUUUGAAUGUUCUGUUGGUCCUCAAGCCCAGGGAAUAAAUUUUCUUGCAUUGAUUCAGAUUCUCCGAGCUUUAUAUCUCUUAGUGUUGAAAUGUCCUUCAAAAGUUCAGAAAAGGGAAAAAAAACGGUUGCUAGAGUUUCUAAGUAUCUGGAAUUAUUUUCUGCAAGUCGCGUAUUGUUCCUUAAAUGACACAGUUGGUAACAUAAGUCAUUUAGGUCUUUUUCAAGUUUUGAGACAGUAUUCUCCAAGGAGGCUAUGCUAAUUAUUAGCUCCUGUGCCUGCACGUGAAAUAUUGAAGUAGAAAAUAUAUUAAAGAUAUCAGUGUAGCAUUAUUUGUGAUGGCAUCUGUUAAUGCCAACUGCAAGUCAAUCUCUUCUUCCAGUUGCCUCUGCACACUCACUUCUUGCUCGAGCUCCGAUCUGUACCGCCGCAUCCUUACCCUUCUGCUUCCAUCCCUCUUGCCAGUGCCAUUGCUACUAUCAUCC